UCUGGAUGAUGUGGUCGGGGCAGUUGAUCGAUGUGUCGGGGCGAUCCAAGCCCCCGUGUCGAGGCACUAGU
Long non-coding RNA from Amblyraja radiata (thorny skate), 71 nucleotides. RefSeq lists it as uncharacterized. The record is from RefSeq and is a predicted model, not a curated record. NCBI's taxonomy places the organism in Eukaryota, Metazoa, Chordata, Chondrichthyes, Rajiformes, Rajidae. The transcript has 3 exons.